This is a long non-coding RNA of Sander lucioperca (pikeperch), 108 nucleotides long. RefSeq lists it as uncharacterized. NCBI's taxonomy places the organism in Eukaryota, Metazoa, Chordata, Actinopteri, Perciformes, Percidae. The transcript has 3 exons. The record is from RefSeq and is a predicted model, not a curated record.
GCAGAAGAGCUGAGAAUUGGGAACCAUGAUGUAACCCCCCGAUGGAAUCCAGACACCGGUGGCGGUGGAGAAGGCCGGAAGACCAGGCCGAGGGGGCACUGGAGUGAC